UGCACCUGGCGUGACGAGCCGGGAACCCCU
RNAcentral lists this small RNA (30 nucleotides) under Bombyx mori (domestic silkworm). Its description in RNAcentral is "ovarian small RNA-8486". Lineage: Eukaryota; Metazoa; Arthropoda; Insecta; Lepidoptera; Bombycidae. The record is from RNAcentral.